RNAcentral lists this ribosomal RNA (399 nucleotides) under uncultured bacterium. RNAcentral describes it as "bacterial SSU rRNA". It matches the Rfam family "Bacterial small subunit ribosomal RNA", at positions 355 to 771 of the family's 1533-position model. The record is from RNAcentral.
UAGGGAAUAUUGGUAAUGGGCGAAAGCCUGAACCAGCAACGCCGCGUGUGCGAUGAAGGCCUUCGGGUUGUAAAGCACUUUUUGAGGGGAUGAGGUAGGACAGUACCCUCAGAAUAAGUCUCGGCUAACUACGUGCCAGCAGCCGCGGUAACACGUAGGAGACAAGCGUUAUUCGGAUUUACUGGGCGUAAAGCGCGUGCAGGCGGUCUGGUAAGUUGGAUGUGAAAGCUCCUGGCUCAACUGGGAGAGGUCGUUCAAUACUGUCAGACUAGAGAGUGGGAGAGGGAGGUGGAAUUCCGGGUGUAGUGGUGAAAUGCGUAGAUAUCCGGAGGAACACCAGUGGCGAAAGCGGCCUCCUGGCCCAUUUCUGACGCUUAGACGCGAAAGCUAGGGUAGCAA